RNAcentral lists this long non-coding RNA (979 nucleotides) under Nicotiana tabacum (common tobacco). RNAcentral describes it as "long non-coding RNA (NTAB_LNC010355)". The record is from RNAcentral. Lineage: Eukaryota; Viridiplantae; Streptophyta; Magnoliopsida; Solanales; Solanaceae.
CAAGAUUAUGAAAAUUUCAGCCAAUCAAAUAGUUAAGAAAAUAUAACUUUCAAAUGCAAAAUUACGUUGUCAAAGGGGAUAUCAUCAAAAUACCUUGACUGCGAUAAAUAGACGAACUAGAACUUAAUUGACUCCAUUUAUCUAUUUUAGUUUGUCUAAGUUGUUUUCAAUUUAACACUAUAAAUUGAUAAAUUAUAUUAUUUAUUAAAUAAUUAGCAGAAAAUAAUAAGAACUAGCACUCAUUAGAGACAUGAAAAAGCUCAAAAAAUGGAGCGCUAUAUGAAAACAGAUGUAUAUCACAAAGACGAUGAACAAGCAGAGAAGGAAUUAUGAACAAAAUAAAGGAAGUAACAUCUUAAAAAUGAAUCAAAUAAAUCCUAAUGUUUUUCACUUCUAAUAUCUUUCCCAAUGUAUAGCUCAAAAGAAUCUUCAGUGACCUCACUACAUAAAAUAUUAUUGGGAAAAAAUUUAUGAAAUAUAUGGAAUUCUGUCAAAAAAUAUCAGGAAAAAUAACAGACCCAUACCACACAACAUCUCAUUUCAGCAUUAUACCAAACAUGCAAUCACCAAAAAUUUAAGAAUUUCAAAACAAAAAAAUCAACUUACCCAACAAAAGAGAUUGUCAACACCGAGAAGGACUUUACACGAUGAUAUUAUUGGAAAACAUACUUUCUACUCCUGUAGAUUUCAAAUAGGUUAGAGAAAUUAGAGGUAAAAUUGUUGAAAUUCUCACUCUCCCUAACUGCAUUUAACACCCAAAAGGGUUUGGGGUUUGCACACAUUACCUGAUUCAAAAAUACAAUCUGAGAUUACAACUUGUGUUAGGGCUUUUGGGUUUCAUACAUAAGGCUCACAUAUUGUGAUUAAACAAAAGUGAAAGAUUUAAUUUGAAAAAUUUGAAGAAGAAAUAGAGCUUUUGCAAGAGAAUCGAGAAGAGGGAAGAAGAAAGGCUUCGGUCUUUUCUUUUGUUCAGAGCUUA